ACCUCUCCAAAGCUCAGUAGUCUCCCAAGCUUGUGAAGAACCAUCAAGCUGCCAAAUAGCCGGUCUCUUCAUCUCACCAACUUCAGACAAACAAGGGAAAUCACCUGCAAGCUCAGAAGUUGUCAAACUCGCGGAAAAUCAACAAGCACCAAGCAAACGUGCCGAUUCAUCCGCCAUCAAAGCCAUACUCGCCACAUGACACUUCUCGUGGUUCAAAUCCUAUCAAGAUCAAGUCUCUGCAGCCCUUGAUCAUCCAUCGUCUUCAAGUCGUCAACAAAACAAAGCUUCUACCAAGUUCUUCAUCAAGCUUGUGGAGAAUCAACAAGCACCAAGCACAUGUGCUGAUUCAUCUGCCAUCAAAGCUAAAGAACACUCACCACGUGAUAUCGCUCGUUGUUCAAAUCCGAUCAAGAGCAAGCCUCUGCAUCCCUUGAUCUAGGGUUGGGAUUUAGAACCGUAAAACCGGAGGAACCGCACCAAACCACACCGAAAGUGUCGGUUCGGUUUGGUUCUACGACAUAUGUGUUAGCAUUUUUCUUGGUUUGGUCCCUUGUAGUGUCUACUCGGUUAGGUUCCUGUGCUUGAUUUAAAAACCUCCUUGCAACCGAAAUACAGAUGUCAGUGUAUAAUUGGAUGAUAAGGCCAAGCUUAUUUUUGUAAAAUAGACCCUUUCUCAUGUGAUCAGCCACUUCCAAAUGCGAUCAGAACCUUCCAUCUUAUCUCAUAAUCUCCUAUCCAUUCGAUCAAAACCCUAAAAAUUAUCUCUUCCCAAGUUCCCUCAAACUCUCAUUCUCUCACAGUCUCAGUCUCCAUCCUAGACGACUCUCACUCUCUCACUCUCUCAACAAUCCUAUGAUCAAAACCCAGACGAGCGAGACGACCUCCCUCAAAGUCUGGAACCCAGAAACAUGCAUGAUUUAGUAGAUCCUCUGCGUUUUCGAUUUGUGUUUGCCAUGGCUCAAGCCUCAAUAUAAGCUUUGUGUUGGCCAUUGCGUCUUCCAUCCGUCUUCGAUUUGUGUUGGCCAUGGCGUCUUCGAUCCGUCUUCGAUUUGUGUUGGCCAUUGCGAUCCGUCUUCGAUUUGUGUUGGCCAUGGCUCAAUGCCUCAAUUCCUACAGUGGCUGCAUAAAGAUUUAGUAUUGAUGGAAGGCUGGAAGCCUUGUUGCAUUGAGGGAGAGGAAGCCAUGCUGGAAAUAUGUUUGCAGUUGUGCACUGAUGAAAUAUUGAUGAACUAUUUCAACCUUAGGUUAUUUGUUCAGUUUGAGACUUUGAAUUGC
Rosa chinensis is the source of this 1275-nucleotide long non-coding RNA. RefSeq lists it as uncharacterized. The record is from RefSeq and is a predicted model, not a curated record. NCBI's taxonomy places the organism in Eukaryota, Viridiplantae, Streptophyta, Magnoliopsida, Rosales, Rosaceae. The transcript is spliced from 3 exons.